This is a non-coding RNA of Paramuricea clavata, 160 nucleotides long. The record is from the annotation of a GenBank genome assembly. Lineage: Eukaryota; Metazoa; Cnidaria; Anthozoa; Malacalcyonacea; Plexauridae.
GUUUCUGAUUGAUAGGGAUACAACUACCUGAAAAAUACAUGGAGAACUUCGACAUUUCGAGCGGUGGUCCUUCGUCGGGAAGUCAGUGAAUGGCCUUCGCUCAAAACGUCGAAGUUCUCCUUGUAUUUUUCAGGUAGUUGUAUUCCUAUCAAUCUGAAGC